RNAcentral lists this ribosomal RNA (51 nucleotides) under Tuber sp. Tsp-mg01. RNAcentral describes it as "partial 5.8S ribosomal RNA". It matches the Rfam family "5.8S ribosomal RNA", at positions 1 to 50 of the family's 154-position model. Rfam says of the family: 5.8S ribosomal RNA (5.8S rRNA) is a component of the large subunit of the eukaryotic ribosome. It is transcribed by RNA polymerase I as part of the 45S precursor that also contains 18S and 28S rRNA. Lineage: Eukaryota; Fungi; Ascomycota; Pezizomycetes; Pezizales; Tuberaceae. The record is from RNAcentral.
AAACUUUCAACAACGGAUCUCUUGGCUCUCGCAUCGAUGAAGAACGCAGAC